GUUGGCUACGGAGACAUGGUCCCCACGACCAUUGGGGGGAAAAUAGUGGGUUCCUUGUGUGCCAUUGCUGGCGUAUUAACGAUUGCCUUACCAGUGCCCGUCAUAGUGUCUAAC
This is a regulatory RNA element of Amazona aestiva (blue-fronted amazon), 114 nucleotides long. It matches the Rfam family "Potassium channel RNA editing signal". From Rfam's summary of the family: This family represents a group of sequences related to the human potassium channel Kv1.1 hairpin element which directs the efficient modification of an adenosine to inosine by an adenosine deaminase acting on RNA (ADAR). The ADAR modification causes an isoleucine/valine recoding event which lies in the ion-conducting pore of the potassium channel. The record is from Rfam. Lineage: Eukaryota; Metazoa; Chordata; Aves; Psittaciformes; Psittacidae.